GCUGGGCGUGGUGGCUCACGCCUGUAAUCCCAGUAGCUCAGGAGGGUGAGAUUGGAGGAUCCUGAGAUCAAAGCCAGCUUCAGCACAAGCAAAGUGCUAAGCAACUCAGUGAGACCCUGUCUCUA
Molecule: small RNA, 125 nt
Filed under: Marmota monax (woodchuck)
Lineage: Eukaryota; Metazoa; Chordata; Mammalia; Rodentia; Sciuridae
Source: RNAcentral